UGGUAUAAAAUAAAGCUGCAGGAAAAGGAAGUUACAGAGGUUAGAUAGCUACAGUUGCAUUGCAAACAUAAGUGCCGUUGCCUGAAUCAGUGUCCAGGAUAAUCCAAGGUUUUAUAGAGAUGGUGUGACUUAUAAUAAACGCCUGCAGCUACGUGGCGAGGAAGAUUUCUUCUGCUGUAAGAGGAGAGGGAUCUCAGCCUGCCAAGAAGACAUCAUGUAGCCAGGUGAAAAAAACUAAGAAAGGAAUGAGUUCUGAACAGGUCCAAGGGAACAUGGAUUCGUGUGAUCUCAAAUGUGACCUCCAGCCUGGAAUGGAUGUCCAGAAACGUGGAUCCUGACGUUGAAGAUGACACUGGCUAUGUGGUUUCACCCUGAUGGCCAGUGUCAAGCACAUAAGUUGCUGACUUCUAAUUAUCUUUACAGCAAAGCAUGAUGAUGUGAUCCCCAACUCCUUAAACAAGGAGAUGAGAACAUUGGAAAUUAACUUGCUGUUUUAAGUAAAGGAUUUUAAAAGAAAAUAAAAUGCUGUCAGAAAUA
This is a long non-coding RNA of Protopterus annectens (West African lungfish), 537 nucleotides long. RefSeq lists it as uncharacterized. The transcript is spliced from 3 exons. NCBI's taxonomy places the organism in Eukaryota, Metazoa, Chordata, Ceratodontiformes, Protopteridae. The record is from RefSeq and is a predicted model, not a curated record.